GCCUACACAUGCAGUCGAGGGGUAUAGUUCUUCGGGACUAGAGACCGGCGCACGGGUGCGUAACGCGUAUGCAAUCUACCUUGUACAGAGGGAUAGCCCAGAGAAAUUUGGAUUAAUACCUCAUAGUGUUAUUGAAUGGCAUCAUUUAAUAACUAAAGUUCUAACGGUACAAGAUGAGCAUGCGUCCCAUUAGUUAGUUGGUAAGGUAACGGCUUACCAAGACAAUGAUGGGUAGGGGUCCUGAGAGGGAGAUCCCCCACACUGGUACUGAGACACGGACCAGACUCCUACGGGAGGCAGCAGUGAGGAAUAUUGGACAAUGGGCGCAAGCCUGAUCCAGCCAUGCCGCGUGCAGGAUGACUGCCCUAUGGGUUGUAAACUGCUUUUAUACAGGAAGAAACACUGCUACGUGUAGCAGCUUGACGGUACUGUAGGAAUAAGGAUCGGCUAACUCCGUGCCAGCAGCCGCGGUAAUACGGAGGAUCCAAGCGUUAUCCGGAAUCAUUGGGUUUAAAGGGUCCGUAGGCGGCCUUAUAAGUCAGUGGUGAAAUCUCCUAGCUCAACUAGGAAACUGCCAUUGAUACUGUAGGGCUUGAAUUUUUAGGAAGUAACUAGAAUAUGUAGUGUAGCGGUGAAAUGCUUAGAUAUUACAUGGAAUACCAAUUGCGAAGGCAGGUUACUACUAAUGGAUUGACGCUGAUGGACGAAAGCGUGGGUAGCGAACAGGAUUAGAUACCCUGGUAGUCCACGCCGUAAACGAUGGAUACUAGCUGUUCGGUCUUCGGACUGAGUGGCUAAGCGAAAGUGAUAAGUAUCCCACCUGGGGAGUACGCACGCAAGUGUGAAACUCAAAGGAAUUGACGGGGGCCCGCACAAGCGGUGGAGCAUGUGGUUUAAUUCGAUGAUACGCGAGGAACCUUACCAC
This 925-nucleotide ribosomal RNA is filed under the name Flavobacterium sp. Spegb17. RNAcentral describes it as "bacterial SSU rRNA". It matches the Rfam family "Bacterial small subunit ribosomal RNA", at positions 46 to 977 of the family's 1533-position model. Lineage: Bacteria; Pseudomonadati; Bacteroidota; Flavobacteriia; Flavobacteriales; Flavobacteriaceae. The record is from RNAcentral.